Long non-coding RNA from Saccostrea cuccullata (small rock oyster), 888 nucleotides. RefSeq lists it as uncharacterized. The record is from RefSeq and is a predicted model, not a curated record. The transcript is spliced from 3 exons. Lineage: Eukaryota; Metazoa; Mollusca; Bivalvia; Ostreida; Ostreidae.
GAGCCCCGUCAACUAUUACGGAAUUAGUGGAGGAUUAGUAGCUUGCGAUCGUCACUUGGCUUUGUUAACUUCUGCUGUGAGACAAUACAAACCGCAUCACCUCAUUGUGUGUCUAGGAGGUAACGAUUUGGAUGUUAUAGAUUCAGACUGGAGCGCAGAGUGUGUGGUUUCAAAACUUGUUUCAUUCCUAACGCAGCUAAGGAACCGAUUCUUGUUAAAAACUGUAACUGUCCUCAGCUAUUUUCCUAGACAAAGAACUAGGUCCAUUCCGCCUGACACUUACAGGUUUAGAGUUAAGGAAACAAACAGCCUACUACAGGACAAUUGUAAAUAUCACCAGUUGACUUUCUGGAGAUUAAGAGGAUUCACUGAAAGUAAACAACCGAUUUUCUGUGACGGUGUCCAUCUUAAUUACUACGGCUUCCAGAAACUGAUAAGACAAUUAAGGGGAAUUCUCCUCGCUCAUCGCCAUUCACGUUGUUAAUUCCUGUUAUUUAGAGUACUUGAUCAUCAAGGUACAAUUGUCUACCAAGCAUUCAUAUCUUGAAUAUUUGGCUUGAAAAAGCAUGGCUUACAGACCAAAAAGGAAGAGGGCGAACAAAACUGAUAGAUAAGCGACCAUUACAACGGUGACAAGCCCAGAGCCAGCAUUGCCAUCUCCAGACGUUGAAGGAAUGGUGAGGGCAUGUAUGACAGCGUUAAUUCCCUCAAUUGAGAAAACCUGCCGUGACAUCAUCACACAACACACAUUAGUGCCGGCACAAACUACGAGCCCAGAAGCCACUACCUCAUCCACCACGUCCACACCAGCAAAGGAGACCACCACUGAGGGAAGCGAACAGCAGCCCGGACAAUCGCUCCUCCAAGAGAUAACAGGUAUCUCAUCAU